GCCCGGGUGGUGAAAUUGGUAGACACAAGAGACUUAAAAUCUCUCGGCCGUAAGGCUGUCCCGGUUCAAGUCCGGGUCCGGGCACCA
Molecule: transfer RNA, 87 nt
Filed under: Marinobacter confluentis
Lineage: Bacteria; Pseudomonadati; Pseudomonadota; Gammaproteobacteria; Pseudomonadales; Marinobacteraceae
Description: tRNA-Leu
Rfam family: tRNA
About the family: Transfer RNA (tRNA) molecules are approximately 80 nucleotides in length. Their secondary structure includes four short double-helical elements and three loops (D, anti-codon, and T loops). Further hydrogen bonds mediate the characteristic L-shaped molecular structure. tRNAs have two regions of fundamental functional importance: the anti-codon, which is responsible for specific mRNA codon recognition, and the 3' end, to which the tRNAs corresponding amino acid is attached (by aminoacyl-tRNA synthetases). tRNAs cope with the degeneracy of the genetic code in two manners: having more than one tRNA (with a specific anti-codon) for a particular amino acid; and 'wobble' base-pairing, i.e. permitting non-standard base-pairing at the 3rd anti-codon position.
Source: RNAcentral